GGGGACGACAUUGGUUUCGACUGUUGUUGGCUUGGAUUCAGUGGCACGUAGGGGUGAGGGACCUCUUAAAAACCUUCAAAACAAUAACUGCAAAUAACGAAUUUGCUCUAGCAGCUUAAUUUUAAGCUCUACGGUUUCCAUGGCUGUUUCCUUAGGUGGCCAAGAAACCGACACCUCUCUAAGGACCUUUCGGAUCUGUCGCCCGCUUCGGGCCGAAUUGAACUCUAAGUAGGAUAGGAAUGAGUCCCCCGUUUGUAGGGUAAGUCUUUCCGAAAUUCAUUUGCAAACUAAACGUGUAGAAGCUGCAUUUGAGGACGAUAGGACCCGGGUUCGACUCCCGGCGUCUCCAAAA
Non-coding RNA from Leptospira biflexa serovar Patoc, 352 nucleotides. It matches the Rfam family "transfer-messenger RNA". Rfam says of the family: Bacterial tmRNA, also known as 10Sa RNA or SsrA, is named for its dual tRNA and mRNA-like properties. Its role is to liberate the mRNA from a stalled ribosome. The record is from Rfam. Lineage: Bacteria; Pseudomonadati; Spirochaetota; Leptospiria; Leptospirales; Leptospiraceae.